GACGAACGCUGGAGGCGUGCUUAACACAUGCAAGUCGAACGAUGAAAUGGAGCUUGCUCCAUGGAUUAGUGGCGAACGGGUGAGUAACACGUGAAUAACCUGCCCUUAAUUUUGGAAUAACCCAGGGAAACCUGGGCUAAUACCGGAUAAGUAAACCUGUGGCAUCACAUGGUUUUGGAAAGUUUUUCGAUUAAGGAUGGAUUCGCGGCCUAUCAGCUUGUUGGUGAGGUAAUGGCUCACCAAGGCGACGACGGGUAGCCGGCCUGAGAGGGUGAACGGCCACACUGUGACUGAGACACGGCCCAGACUCCAACGGGAGGCAGCAGUGGGGAAUAUUGCGCAAUGGACGAAAGUCUGACGCAGCGACGCCUCGUGAGGGACGAAGGUCUUCGGAUUGUAAACCUCUUUCAGCAGGGACGAAGCGAAAGUGACGGUACCUGCAGAAGAAGCACCGGCUAACUAUGUGCCAGCCGCCGCAGUAA
Molecule: ribosomal RNA, 482 nt
Filed under: uncultured bacterium
Lineage: Bacteria
Description: partial 16S ribosomal RNA
Rfam family: Bacterial small subunit ribosomal RNA
Source: RNAcentral